Molecule: ribosomal RNA, 253 nt
Filed under: uncultured bacterium
Lineage: Bacteria
Description: partial 16S ribosomal RNA
Rfam family: Bacterial small subunit ribosomal RNA
Source: RNAcentral
UACGGAGGGGGCUAGCGUUAUUCGGAAUUACUGGGCGUAAAGCGCACGUAGGCGGAUUGGAAAGUCAGAGGUGAAAUCCCAGGGCUCAACCUUGGAACUGCCUUUGAAACUCCCAGUCUUGAGGUCGUGAGAGGUGAGUGGAAUUCCGAAUGUAGAGGUGAAAUUCGUAGAUAUUCGGAGGAACACCAGUGGCGAAGGCGGCUCACUGGCACGAUACUGACGCUGAGGCGCGAGAGCGUGGGGAACGAACUGG